Molecule: long non-coding RNA, 7349 nt
Organism: Solenopsis invicta (red fire ant)
Lineage: Eukaryota; Metazoa; Arthropoda; Insecta; Hymenoptera; Formicidae
Exons: 2
Source: RefSeq, a predicted model, not a curated record
UAAAAAUAUUAAAUAAUGUUCUCAGAAUAUUAUUUUAAUUUUUAAUAAUAUUCGUAUAAAAUUCUAGGAAUAUCGUGUGCUUACAAGAACGAUUCUUGGAAAAAUCACAAGCGUGAUUUACCCACGCUGGUGAACAAAGUAUUAUAUGAAUUACAGUAAUUUAAUUAAUGAAUCCCUUGAUGUCCGACCGGUCACCAAAUUGCUAAUCGCGUUUUUAACGGGAGGCGAAAGAACGUUCGGAAAAUAAUGUAAUUAUUGCGCGUUACAAAAAUGGAUGAAUGAACGUAUGUAAAAGAGAACGUGGAACUGCUUUUUCAUUGAAACGCGAUCCCGAUCAGCUGUGUAUGUACAAAGGUGUGCGCCCGGCUCGCGGACAAAAAAGGCGAUGAAACGGAAUUCAAGCCGGCGCGCCGAAACCACGCAUGCCGGCACAUCCGGUCGUACUUCCUCCUGGGAGAAGGUCGCGCUUACUUGCGCGGGUUUCCACACUCGGCACACUGCCUCGGCCAUAAAUGGGUCGCAGCAUCCGAGCGGUAGCUUUUUACGGUACCGAGGUAUUUCGCCGCCGCCGUUGUGAUACCGUUGGUAUGCAUAAGCAAUGUCGCGAGCGAUACAAAACACCGGUACCUUGGCGAGAUUUCCGGAUUGAUACGAUAAUCGUUAUCGUUCAUUCGAUCGAGGGCAAUUCGAUUUAAAAUUGUUUCAUUCUUUAUUCCGCGUGAGCGAGACUCGAAGCGAACUUUCUAAAUUCCAAAAUCUACAGUUCACUCAAAUGAUUCGUAAAAUUCACUUUAAAUACGCAUUAGUUCUAGAAUGCUACUUAUUAUAUAUAUAUAUAUAUUUUUUUUUGCAUUGAUUGCGUUCAACGGAAAAAAACAGUUUUGCAACUAUUGCAAUAUUCAUUAAUAUGACUGGUUUUUGCCUUUAGUUCCUACCGCAUAUGAAAUGUAUAAACAUUAUAUUAAAGAAUUUUACAAUAGUUGCAAAGCUGCUUUUUCCGCUGAACGCAAUAAUUAAUAUUUUAAGAAAUUUAUUCACAAAAUUAAAAUGUUUUUUUGAGAAUUUUUAAACAUUUUCUCCUACGUUGUAAGUUGCAAGAUGCUGGAAUAACAAUUUUAAUAUAAAAUCUUAUUAAAUGUUAUUUUAAGCUAUCAAAAUUUUAGUAACAAACUGUGCUAAACUUGUGUGUGAAUUAGCUAAAUUCCCAGAGUAGCAUUCUAGAGUUAAAAAGCGUUCCCGCGUAUAAAUUAUGGACCACGUGUUACGUUUUCUAAAUCACGGUCCUCGUAAAUUAAUGGCGCACCUCAAGUAUACACGAGGUCCGAAGAAUAUCUCACGAAUUAUAUACUCCGAAAGCCCCGGCUAUGAAUGGCGCGAAGGGCACGUGGCAUUUAGAGUUCCCAUCCAUCUUUUUCUCCCAGACACCGUCUAGUUUUUUUUUUCUUUUUUAGAGAGCAUUUGCUGAGAUUUUCCGAAGGCGUCUAUGAUAAUUAACGUGAUCUCAAUUGAUAUUAAAAUGUGAUUUUUUGACUGAUUUAUGAUGCAUUUGCAAAGUAAACGACAGUAGUGUAAACUAUUUUUUUAUUCAUGUGAAUUCUUUAAUACGUUUUAUAUUUAUUGAUCGAUUGAUUUUAUUUUUUUUUUAAUUAUUAAUAAAACAUGCAGAUAUGUUCUAAACAUGUAAUACAACUUUUUAUAAAAAAAAAAAAAACAUUCUAAGUAUCUUUUCAUUAUUUUUUAUUUUAAACGAAAUGUUCGGAAUUUUUGGCAUUAUUAUAAGUUCUAGAUUUGAAAGUUUUGAUAUGGCAACCCUAAGUACGUGUGCAUUAGCCGUAUCGUGAUUCUCGAGUAAUUCGUGUGAUUCGUGCGACCUUCGUCGAACCUCGUCGAUGAGAGAUACGCACCGAGUACUUCAAAUGCCAUGUAAUGAAUAAAGAACGAAUAAAACCGAGUGCGCGAAGAGCGUUGCCUCUUUCGCGAAGAGAAAGCCGAAGCCGUGUAGACAAGAUGAAGAAAAAAAAUCCGUGACAGAAAGUCUUUUUUUUCGAUCUCGUUAUGGAGACUCGAAGAUAAAAGUUUCAGGAGCAAGUAAAAGAGCAAUUAAAGGCCCAACGUAAUCAUUUUAUCAAUUUAUGCACAUAAAGAGCAGUUUUGCAGUGUUUAAAAUUGUAAUUAGACAUAGACGUGAAAAUAAUCUUGCUGGGAUCGAAAUAAUUAUGUGGGACGCUCAAGCUGGUUGCUAGAGUGUCGAAACUUCUUGCAACAUUGCCCAUCAUGUUUGAGCAUCCUUCCCAUACAGCACAGAAUACAAUACGAUGUAACGUUUCAGCAAUAUUGAAGCAACAUUGCAACAUUUCAGAGACACUGCAAAAUUUCAGCGACGUUGCAGAGACAUUGCUAGAAUAUGUUGCAAAAGGAUUUAUAAUUAUUUUGAUGGUCAAACAAAAUUAUUUUCGGAACUAUGUGUCCAAUUUUUAAACAUUGCGGCAAAAUCGUGUACGAAAAGAUAGUUCGCCUGGUAGCUGAAGCGUGAAUUAUCGUUCGGAUUGUAAACUGGAACGGACACAGGCCGAAGACGUUAUUGCAUUCGAGGAAGUGAAAAUUUUGGUCGAUAAAAGAUAUGUGUUAAUGGUACAAGCUAAUAUCUCUGAUAAUGAUUUUCAACGUGUGCGUUUCAAUGAACGAUAGAGCGCCGGAAUUCCACGAACAUUGAACAUCGAUUAACAUCAGCUCAAGCGCGUUGAAGAGGAGGAAAAGAUUGAAAGAGCGAUCUCGCCCGGGAUACUUUAAAAACCGAUCGAUUCUCGCGUAUUCUUCGCUUCUCGUUUUCCCUUCGUUGUGACGUCGUCGUCGCGACUCGCCCGAGCCAUGCAAUCUCUAUAGGGAAAAAGAUGAGUUGCGGUUACGCGCGCCGAGUUAUUUCGCUUCGUGCGCACGGGUGUGCGUGCGUGCGUGCGUGCGUGCGUGCGUGCGUUUCGAUUAAUUUCGCGGGAGAAGUCGGCCAGAAGUGGCCGAAAGCCAUCGAAGAGCCCGAUCUCACCACGAAUCCGCGACGAGACGGAGGAGGAGGUAGAUGGACGAGGUGUAUAGAACGAAAGAGAGAGAAGGAGACCGGCUCUUACGGGAGAAGUAUACAAUCUCCCUUCUCCUCCUCGAACUCCCUCCACGAAACGACUCGCCAUCGAAAGAUGUUGCUGCUGCUGCUGCUGCUGCUGCUGCUGCUGCUGCUGCUGCCCGCCGCUCUCUCGCGUAGCUAACGCACAUAGAUACAUACAUUAUCUUCGCGAACGGGCGAGCGAAUGCGCAUCCUGAGCCUCCCGCGGUGAGUUCGCCGCUUAUAGUGGAUAGUGGGUGUGCACGCGGCUCGCCGGUGGGUCGCGCAUACCGCGCGUGUCCUCGUCACCGUCGGGGUAUUCCCGCUUAUUUUACCGCAUCCGAUGCGCACGCUGGCCACGUACGCGCGCGGACAGACGGCCAGUUACACGCAAUCCCGCUUUCGCGAUUAGUCUCCCGCGCGCGUAAAAGGCUGACGAGGUACCACGCUUGUGCGACCAAUUUCUCAGACAUGCUGACUGCGGCUGUGGCACUGACAAGUUCUCGAGAAGUUUUCUAUCUCUUGUGAAGCGUAUCAAUCUGUUUGAAAAGUUCGUCGAGCGAAUAAAAAUGGCAAAAGUCGCGCCGCGUGACGAUUCAGGUGGUAAUCGUUCGGUUGAUCGAUCAGAUAUCACAGUACUGCGAUUCAUUGAAAGCGAAGAAGAAGAAGAAGAAGAAGAAGAGAUCGAUCAGUGAUUGAGACGAGGACGACGCAGGCGAAGUUUCCUCCACCUGGUCCCGCUUGGUCCCGCUGCACGCCCCGAAGAGAUCGCCGCGAGAGAUUCCGCAAGGACAUCGCGAGAUCACCGUCACCGUCGCCGCCGCUGCCGCCGCCGCCGCCGCCGCGUCGUCGUCGCAGUGGGGAUCGAUCGCGGCCUCGUAUAAUCGCGGCGCCGACGUCAUGGUCGCGCGACAGUUUUUCCGCAGUCGCCGCGAGUGUGGUACCGCGUACGGGAGGAAUGUUCGCUCCGCCGGUCUCUCCUUCUCUCCAGCCGGAGUCGCGGAGUGUUGUAGGCGAAACUACGAGUUUACCUCGUGUGACAAAGUUGCCCUCUUUCCCUUUUCCUAUCUCCCCCCCCCCUCUCCUCUCUUCCUCCUUUAUCCGCGAGUUUUCCGUGCGUGACGACGACGGGAACGGCGCUGGAGAAAGUGAGGCUUCCGGAAAUACACAUGCGCCGGAGUGCUUCCGUUUAUGUAACCGCCGCAGCCGCCGCCGUUCACCGAGAAAGAUAUCGCACGUGCGGGCAUCGAAGUCUCCCGACGAUUCGACUCUUCGGCGAGCCGCAUGGAGCGUCCCGUCCCCCGUUGGCCCUCACCCACGCUGCGGAGCUUUUUUUUUUUUCGAAAAAAGGAGUGCGCGUAUGUGCGUGCGUGUGUGCGUGUGCGAACACCAGAGGAUUGCGGCGGAGUGCAGCGGGACGGACUUUCGUCAUCGGCGGCGAUGACUGAGACGGAGCCGACUGUAGACCACAACGUUCCGAUAACGAGGCUGAAAAGUCGAGCAUGACUGUGAACUGCUUUGCACGUUUGCAUGGACGUUGUAUCUCGUUUCGGGCGGAUCCUCCUUCGAAAUUCCGUCGCGCUGUUCGUGGCAAAGAGUCGGCCCGAGUUACACGCGCCUAUACGAUAUAUUCUUUCUCUCCUCUUUCAAGCUGUGGACUGGCGUUUCGACAUGUCGAUACGAUCGCGGGGAGUCAUCGUAGCGGAGAAGGGACCUUGGACGCACUUACCCGAGGAUAAGUCAAACGUUUACAUAACAGCGGUGGCUUUAGAAAGUGCUAGGGGAUCGAAAACAUUUUCAUUACCGUGAUAACGCCAAGAGAUAAGGCCAAGGAAAAGAUGAGAGACGGGACGAAAGUGAUAAUGGCUCUCUAAUUUAGGGUCCCGGUUAAGAAAGUUAGAUCGAGUAUCACGAGAAUUAACAUCGAUUUCUCUCACAUCCGUUCGUUACUCAACAUUGGUUUCUCCACACCCUGAACAAAAAGAUUUUGAUAAUAGUAAUUAAGCUUUGGUGAAAUAAUUACAAACAAAUGUCUGAUUGAUAUAACCAAGUAUUUAGAAAUUACUAUUAUUAGUAAUAAACAUAAUAAUAGUAACUAACCAGUUACUAAACGGUCAUUAAGUCGCUAAAUGUUACUAAAUAUUUGAUAUUAACUAAAUAUUUAAUUGAAACUAUUUCACGAAAACUCGAUAAUAAUUAUGAUCUAAGCUUGACUAUAUUACUAUCAAAACUCUAGAUCUCUUCGUAUUUAUUUAUGCGUAUCUUAUUACAAUACUGCAAUAUACACAUUCCUAUAUUUUAUUACAUUUUGGGUGCGAGAGAAACGAGGUCCUUCGCGUAAAAAAGGAGAGAGAGAAAGAGAGAAGAGGAGAGGCGGGCGCGCGCCCGCCCGACGAUUUGGUAUUCAAAUCGCCGUCUCUUGUGCAAUUCCCUCUUGUCUGUUUCUUUCCUUUUUCUUCUUUCCGUAUUCCAUCCUGGGUCCUUACGACCUUUCCACGUCUACCUGCCUGCGUGCCCCGCGUAUUUUUAGGCGUGACACGCUUUCUUUGUGCCGGUCGGCCGGACCACCGUCGCAAAAAUGAUUCCUCGUAAAAGAAUACGCGCGGUACUGUUACUGGUAAAUCGACGCGUUUCUCCUCUUCUUUUUUUUCACCUCCUUUCCUCCCCCCCCCCCCUCUGCGCCAAACGUUUCUUACGCGCUUCUAUCUCCAAUUCUUAUUUAACGCUGCUUAAAAAUUGACCUCUAACUGUAAAUUCCUACUAAAAAUUUUAAUUGUAAGUUAUGAACGUACAAACUAUUCUCUUCCAAUUCAAUAAAAAUAAGUCGUGAAAAUUGACAAUAAUUUUAAAUAGUUUUGAUUUUUAUAUUCGUACACAAUUAUUGUAUUCGAGGAAAAAAAUUUUUAAUAUUUAGUCCGAUGCGUUCAACUAUUUGGAUUGAUUCAACAAUCAUUUAGUUGUACAAAAAAAAAAGGUUCACGUCGAUCAUUAAUUUUUUUAACUAAAUCAACUCGAACUUUGGUCGAACGGAUUAAAUAUUUUGUUUUUUCAGCAAAUUCUUUUUCUCGGUAUAACGCAAAAAGAAAUUUCUUCGGUUUUGCAAUUACACACGUUACGCGUGAUAAUAAUCAUAAUCACAAGUAAAGGACUGUAUAUGUAUACAAUAUGAUCGCUCGUACGUUUCUCAUCCGAGUUUUUCGAGUUAUUUGAUAUUCUUUCAUUCUCGUUACUUCUCGUUACCAAGGCCAGCCUUAUAAUGUAUGCACAUAUAAUUCUGUAAUUUAAAUAUAAACGACACAGAGAGAAUGCCUAAUGGAUUCCGUACGACGAUUUCUUUUUAGACGCUCUUUGAAAUCCUGGUUCAUUCUCGAAUAUACGUCGAGCGAUGACAUUUCGUGACUCGAAAUUCCCAACGGCGGUGAGGAUGACCCGCAGUGCAGUGUUUGGACAAUGACUGAAGCGGAAAGCCACAGAAAACGAUUCUUCAUUUGUGUUACGAGCUUCUAAGCGCAGGUUACUACUACGAUUAUCAUUCUAAGUAUACUCGGACGCUGUUUUAAUCAUUAUUAUACGGCAUGGCCAGGAUAACUACAGGCGAGUGGAAACUACCGUGGGAAGAAGGCUGCGAAAAGAGCGGACCAGACGAAGGCAAAAAAAAGAGAGAGAGAGAUAGAAGACUCGGCGGAAGGAGAACCGAGUAACUUGGUUUAGCCUCUCCUAGGCUUUGUCUGUAUGGGAGGACAGAGACAUAGCCUAGAAUAGGUUAGGUCAGGGCUCGUUCAACAUGGAUCAUCUACCGGCAUAUGAUCUCCACGGCUCGGCGCCGAAGAGAGGAGGUGCGAAGGGGUAUCGCUCAGGGUCAAGCUCAAGGUUAACACUCGACGGGAUCGGCUCUAAAGGAUGUCAUGCGUGCACGCGCGUGCGCGCGCGCGCGCAUUGGAAUGCGUCAGGAAUUUUAACGUUUAUUAAUAAUAAUAAUAAUAAUUGACGCUAUGUCGUUUGAGAGAUUUUCGCGCGAUGAGAUGUAAUAAUGAAGCGAGAUCGAGCGGAAAAUAUAGAUCACGCGGUCGCCGAAAAUAAUCUUUAUAUAUGUAUGUAUCUGAAAAUAUCAGGAAGUUCUUUGAUAAAUACACGCGUACAAUGUUUGCGAUUAUAUAUACAUUAGAUUAUGUAUAAUUAUCGUGUUGAAAUGUUUUUCUGUUAGCCUAUCCAAAACACGAUAAAUAUUGUUUUAAUAUAGUUUGCUAAAUGUAGA